RNAcentral lists this transfer RNA (68 nucleotides) under Aleyrodes shizuokensis. RNAcentral's name for it is "tRNA-Met". It matches the Rfam family "tRNA". From Rfam's summary of the family: Transfer RNA (tRNA) molecules are approximately 80 nucleotides in length. Their secondary structure includes four short double-helical elements and three loops (D, anti-codon, and T loops). Lineage: Eukaryota; Metazoa; Arthropoda; Insecta; Hemiptera; Aleyrodidae. The record is from RNAcentral.
AAAAUAAUAAGCUAAGAUUUAAGCUAUUGGACUCAUAUUUCAAUUAUAGGAUAAAAUCUUUUAUUUUA